RNAcentral lists this ribosomal RNA (406 nucleotides) under uncultured bacterium. Its description in RNAcentral is "partial 16S ribosomal RNA". It matches the Rfam family "Bacterial small subunit ribosomal RNA", at positions 30 to 526 of the family's 1533-position model. The record is from RNAcentral.
AUUGAACGCUGGCGGCAGGCCUAACACAUGCAAGUCGAACGAGUGGCGGACGGGUGAGUAAUGUCUGGGAAACUGCCUGAUGGAGGGGGAUAACUACUGGAAACGGUAGCUAAUACCGCAUACCAUCAGAUGUGCCCAGAUGGGAUUAGCUUGUUGGUGGGGUAACGGCUCACCAAGGCGACGAUCCCUAGCUGGUCUGAGAGGAUGACCAGCCAAACUGGAACUUAGAACCGGUCCCACUCCCUACGGGGGGCAGGAGGGGGGAAUUUUUGACAAUGGGCGCAAGCCUGAUGCAGCCAUGCCGGGUGUAUGAAGAAGGCCUUCGGGUUGUAAAGUACUUUCAGCGGGGAGGCGUUACCCGCAGAAGAAGCACCGGCUAACUCCGUGCCAGCAGCCGCGGUAAUAC